This 980-nucleotide ribosomal RNA is filed under the name Halolamina sp. IARI-CSK3. RNAcentral's name for it is "bacterial SSU rRNA". It matches the Rfam family "Archaeal small subunit ribosomal RNA", at positions 20 to 1000 of the family's 1478-position model. Lineage: Archaea; Methanobacteriati; Methanobacteriota; Halobacteria; Halobacteriales; Haloferacaceae. The record is from RNAcentral.
GAGGUCAUUGCUAUCGGGGUCGAUUUAGCAUGCUAGUUGUGCGGGUUCAGACCCGCGGCGUAUAGCUCAGUAACACGUGGCCAAACUACCCACCAGACAGGAACAACCUCGGGAAACUGAGGCUAACACCUGAUACGCGUUGAUUGUUUGAAUACGUCGACGCUCAAACGCUCCGGCGCUGGUGGAUGUGGCUGCGGCCGAUUAGGUAGACGGUGGGGUAACGGCCCACCGUGCCGAUAAUCGGUACGGGUUGUGAGAGCAAGAGCCCGGAGACGGAAUCUGAGACAAGAUUCCGGGCCCUACGGGGCGCAGCAGGCGCGAAACCUUUACACUGCACGCCAGUGCGAUAAGGGGACCCCGAGUGAAAGGGCAUAUCGCCCUUUCUUUUCUGAACCGUAGGGAGGUUCAGGAACAAGAGCUGGGCAAGACCGGUGCCAGCCGCCGCGGUAAUACCGGCAGCUCGAGUGAUGACCGAUUUUAUUGGGCCUAAAGCGUCCGUAGCUGGCCGUGCAAGUUCGUCGGGAAAUCCACCCGCUCAACGGGUGGGCGUCCGGCGAAAACUGUACGGCUUGGGACAGGAAGGCUCGAGGGGUACGUUCGGGGUAGGAGUGAAAUCCCGUAAUCCUGAACGGACCACCGAUGGCGAAAGCACCUCGAGAGGACUGAUCCGACAGUGAGGGACGAAAGCUGGGGUCUCGAACCGGAUUAGAUACCCGGGUAGUCCCAGCCGUAAACGAUGUUCGCUAGGUGUGACACUCACUACGAGUGAGUGUUGUGCCGCAGGGAAGCCGCUAAGCGAACCGCCUGGGAAGUACGUCCGCAAGGAUGAAACUUAAAGGAAUUGGCGGGGGAGCACUACAACCGGAGGAGCCUGCGGUUUAAUUGGACUCAACGCCGGUAACCUUACCAGCCCCGACUACGGUGAUGACGGCCAGGUUGAUGACCUCGCCACGACGCCGUAGAGAGGUGGUGCAUGGCCG